CGGACUUUGAGGAUGCCUGGUUUAAAGUUUAAACACUGUCACAGAGGAGAGGUGAUGAGGCUGGUUAUGAAAUGAGCUGCAGACAGGGGAGGGUGUUGAAGUGGAAGUAUGAAGUCAGACUGGUCGGACUGGUCAGACUGGUCCGACUGCCAGACUCCAUUUUACACUUCGACAGAGCAGGAGGAGAAAAACAGGACUGAGAGCAGCUUCUCCUGAUUCUGGCCGGUCUAAAGACUUCAGUAAGGAACCUGGACCCUCAGACACAAAAAGGAGAGCAGAGUCUCCAGUCCCCAGCUGUCUCUGAAGAGUGACCGGUCUGAAGAGGAACCUCCAGACUUCAGAGAUGAACUCAGACAGGAAAGUCCCAGCAGAGAGCAGAGUCCCAGCAGAGAGCAGAGUCUCAGCAGACAAGUGGCUGCGCUCAGUUCUACCAGGUCCAAGACAUGCAUUGUCCCAGAGAAAUGUCCCAGCAGAGAGCAGAGUCCCAGCAGAGAGCAGAGUCCCAGCAGAGAACAGAGUCCCAGCAGAGAGCAGAGUCCCAGCAGAGAGCAGAGUCCCAGCAGAGAACAGAGUCCCA
Gymnodraco acuticeps is the source of this 577-nucleotide long non-coding RNA. RefSeq lists it as uncharacterized. NCBI's taxonomy places the organism in Eukaryota, Metazoa, Chordata, Actinopteri, Perciformes, Bathydraconidae. The transcript has 5 exons. The record is from RefSeq and is a predicted model, not a curated record.